RNAcentral lists this ribosomal RNA (2294 nucleotides) under Paucisalibacillus globulus. Its description in RNAcentral is "bacterial LSU rRNA". It matches the Rfam family "Bacterial large subunit ribosomal RNA", at positions 14 to 2309 of the family's 2925-position model. The record is from RNAcentral. Lineage: Bacteria; Bacillati; Bacillota; Bacilli; Caryophanales; Bacillaceae.
AGGGCGCACGGUGGAUGCCUUGGCACUAGGAGCCGAUGAAGGACGGGACUAACACCGAUAUGCCUCGGGGAGUCGUAAGUAGACUUCGAUCCGAGGAUUUCCGAAUGGGGAAACCCACUGUUCGUAAUGGAGCAGUAUCCAUAUCUGAAUACAUAGGGUAUGGAAGGCAGACCCGGGGAACUGAAACAUCUCAUUACCCGGAGGAAGAGAAAGCAAAUGCGAUUUCCUGAGUAGCGGCGAGCGAAACGGAAUUAGCCCAAACCAAGAAGCUUGCUUCUUGGGGUUGUAGGACACUCCACACGGAGUUACAAAGGAAUUCUUUAGAUGAAGCUACCUGGAAAGGUAAGCCGUAGAAGGUAACAGCCCUGUAAUCGAAAAAGAAUUCUCUCCGGAGUGUAUCCUGAGUACGGCGGAACACGUGAAAUUCCGUCGGAAUCCGGGAGGACCAUCUCCCAAGGCUAAAUACUACCUAGUGACCGAUAGUGAACCAGUACCGUGAGGGAAAGGUGAAAAGCACCCCGGGAGGGGAGUGAAAGAGAACCUGAAACCGUGUGCCUACAAGUAGUCGGAGCCCGUUAAUGGGUGACGGCGUACCUUUUGUAGAAUGGACCGGCGAGUUACGAUUGUAUGCGAGGUUAAGUGGAAGACACGGAGCCGUAGCGAAAGCGAGUCUGAAUAGGGCGAAUUAGUAUGCGGUCGUAGACCCGAAACCGUGUGAUCUACCCAUGUCCAGGGUGAAGGUCAGGUAACACUGACUGGAGGCCCGAACCCACGUAUGUUGAAAAAUGCGGGGAUGAGGUGUGGGUAGGGGUGAAAUGCCAAUCGAACACGGAGAUAGCUGGUUCUCUCCGAAAUAGCUUUAGGGCUAGCCUCAAGGGAUGAGUAUUGGAGGUAGAGCACUGAUUGGACUAGGGGCCCUCAUCGGGUUACCGAAUUCAGUCAAACUCCGAAUGCCAACUACUUUACCUUGGGAGUCAGUCUAUGGGUGAUAAGGUUCAUAGACGAAAGGGAAACAGCCCAGACCGCCAGCUAAGGUCCCAAAGUAUACGUUAAGUGGAAAAGGAUGUGGAGUUGCACAGACAACCAGGAUGUUGGCUUAGAAGCAGCCACCAUUUAAAGAGUGCGUAAUAGCUCACUGGUCGAGUGACUCUGCGCCGAAAAUAUACCGGGGCUAAACGUAUCACCGAAGCUGCGGAUUGUUCUUACGAACAAUGGUAGGAGAGCGUUCUAAGUGCUGUGAAGUCAGACCGUGAGGACUGGUGGAGCGCUUAGAAGUGAGAAUGCCGGUAUGAGUAGCGAAAAAAGAGUGAGAAUCUCUUUCACCGAAUGCCUAAGGUUUCCUGAGGAAGGCUCGUCCUCUCAGGGUUAGUCGGGACCUAAGCCGAGGCCGAAAGGCGUAGGCGAUGGACAACAGGUUGAUAUUCCUGUACCACCUCAUGAUCGUUAUGAGCGAUGGGGGGACGCAGUAGGAUAGGGAAUGCGCACCACUGGAUGUGUGCGCCCAAGCAGUGAGAGUGUCAGGUAGGCAAAUCCGCCUGGCGUAAGCUCAAGCUGUGAUGGGGAGCGAAAUAUAGUAGCGAAGUUCCUGAUUUCACACUGCCAAGAAAAGCCUCUAGCCAGAUCAUAGGUGCCCGUACCGCAAACCGACACAGGUAGGCGAGGAGAGAAUCCUAAGGUGAGCGGGAGAACUCUCGUUAAGGAACUCGGCAAAAUGACCCCGUAACUUCGGGAGAAGGGGUGCUUCUUGCAUGAGAAGCCGCAGUGAAUAGGCCCAAGCGACUGUUUAGCAAAAACACAGGUCUCUGCGAAGCCGAAAGGCGAAGUAUAGGGGCUGACACCUGCCCGGUGCUGGAAGGUUAAGGGGAUGGGUUAGGACUUAGGUCCGAAGCUUUGAACCGAAGCCCCAGUAAACGGCGGCCGUAACUAUAACGGUCCUAAGGUAGCGAAAUUCCUUGUCGGGUAAGUUCCGACCCGCACGAAAGGUGUAACGAUUUGGGCACUGUCUCAACGAGAGACCCGGUGAAAUUAUACUAUGCGUGAAGAUGCGCAUUACCCGCGACAGGACGGAAAGACCCCGUGGAGCUUUACUGUAGCCUGAUAUUGAAUGUCUGUGCAGCUUGUACAGGAUAGGUGGGAGCCAUUGACUCGUGAGCGCUAGCUUACGGUGGAGGCAUCCGUGGGAUACCACCCUGGCUGUAUGGACCUUCUAACCCAGGACCGUGAUCCGGUUCGGAGACAGUGUCAGGCGGGCAGUUUGACUGGGGCGGUCGCCUCCUAAAAGGUAACGGAGGCGC